UCAUCGCCAAAGUCAACUCAGUCAAGAAAAGAAAAGUCUCAGUAUUUUGUCGGGUUCAUACAUCACAUGGUUGUUUGAGAAGGAAAUAUGUUGGUGUCUAAGUGCCUAUAAUUUGUAUUGUUGUCAGCAUAGUUCCUGACUCGUCAAUGUGAUAUUCGAUUAUUAAUAGAUAUUAUGAGUAUAUUAAUACUCAAAACAAAACUUCAUAUGCCGAUCAAAAAAUAAGCAGCAUGUAUACAACGAGCUAUUGCUAUCGGUAAAACCACACUAAACUAUAAUGCUAAUUGAAGUCCUAACUAAGAUGCUGAAAGUCCUGUUUGCGAAAGCUUUACGACAUUUGCAUCAGUAUGAGGUCUUAUGAGCAAAACAAUUAAAUGGAUAAGAUCAAUAACAGGUCCAUUUCGCUGUUUACCUCGUUUGGAGAAAAUUGAAAGUUCCAAACUACAUUUCAACACCCAAGCAAUCCUUUGGUAAGAACGACUUUAAAAUGUGAAAUGACGACAUGCCGUUGUUUAUUCCAAUUGCAGAUUUAAAUAUCAACAUAACAAACUCACGGAUCGAGGUGAAGGAACAAUUAUUUAUAUGCCAUUAAAUAAUUAAUUUGAAAAGCACGCAAUCAGAAUUAUGUAGAACCGUUGUAUUACUUUAUUUUUGAAAGUUAAAUCACGCUUUUAAGACAAAAAUGAAAUGCUCUUUUAUCCAUUAUGGUGUACACAUAUUGCUAUGCAAAAGAUCAUGAUCGAGUAAAAUAUAUGUUCUCAAAAA
Xenia sp. Carnegie-2017 is the source of this 765-nucleotide long non-coding RNA. RefSeq lists it as uncharacterized. Lineage: Eukaryota; Metazoa; Cnidaria; Anthozoa; Malacalcyonacea; Xeniidae. The record is from RefSeq and is a predicted model, not a curated record. The transcript has 2 exons.